RNAcentral lists this unclassified non-coding RNA (2816 nucleotides) under Leishmania donovani. RNAcentral describes it as "gene:LdHU3.34.0340(CDS-product:Antimony_resistanc e_marker_of_58_kDa)". The record is from RNAcentral. Lineage: Eukaryota; Euglenozoa; Kinetoplastea; Trypanosomatida; Trypanosomatidae.
GUGUUCACAGACUAGCAUUUUGAUCAUCUCCAGCGACAGGGUAGACAGAGCCGCAUCGCUCAGUCACAGUACGACCCGACUCGCCGCAGAUCUCGCACAGUUUCGUUGUCUCCUACAGAUUUUCCCUCCGCUUGCCAGUGCACUUGAGCGGGGCAGAGGCAAUAUCGGCUACUUCUGGUGCGCCGCGCACACAUAGACGCGCUUGGCGACUGGAAGGGAGAGGGAGACGAGACGCAGCACUCCAGCCGCUCCCCGGCUCAUUAGCUUUGUUGUAUUAUUUAUUUCCAAGGGGGGCGCGUGCCUCUGCAGCUGCGCUGUGCUCAAUUCGACAGCGGACUGGACGAUGACCGAGCUCGUGCCACCAGAGGCGAUACGAUUCGCCAACGGCGAACCCCUUUGCGCGUAUCAGGAGUGCUACCGGUGCUUCGACGGCCGCGACAUUCUCUUCCGCCUGGUGAACGUGGAGAAGAAGCAGUGGUUCUUCUACAACGACACCACAGACACGAUCGCGCAUGUGUGUGCCAUGUUUUAUCCCGGAAGUGUGAUCCGACCGCUGCAGCGAGCAGAUAUGCACGUCAUCCCUGGCCCCACCGGCGUAGCAGACGAGACAUGCUCGAUCGAGGUGACGCUGGACAUCCAGCCGGGGUUUACGGAGUCGUUCAUCGAGGGAGAGCACAAGGGCUUUCACCUUGAAUUUCGGACCGAGACCGCGCCGACAAAGGAGGUCGUCUUCGAGUACAGACGGCCGACGGUGCCAUACGAUAAGAUCUACCGCUGCUUCAAGAACGGCAAUGGGCUGCUGUUCCGCCUGGUGGACGAGCGCGUACGUCAGUGGUUCUUCUACAACGACACUCGUGACUUGAUGAUGAAGGUGAGCGUGGCGUUUGCGAAUAGCGCAGAGGUGCGCCCACUGGGAUGCACCGCCCUUGGGGUGCCGCACGCCGACACCGCACCUGAGAGCGUCGUCUACACCCUCCUCAUCGCGCCUGGUUGCACCGAGCCGUUCAUUGAGGGAAAUCCAGUGACAUACACGCUGGAGUUUGCCGCCGAGCCGCUUGAUGCUCCAGUCACGCCUGCCUUGGAGGAGCCGGUGCAGUAUCUGCACGGGUGCCCCGACGUCGCCGUCAUUCCACACCAGACGCACGUGUUCAAGUGCUUCAAGGAGCACGGCAACGGACUGCUGUUCCGUGUCGUUGACGAUGUAAACACAAUUUGGGCCUUCUACAACGACACGCCAGAUUACGUGAUGACAGCUAAUAUGCGCUACCCGGGCACGAGCGACAUACGCCUUGCUCCGGGGGUGCAGGUUAUCGCCGAUAGCGAGCGCGAGGGCGGUUUUGUUGCAGCGGUCGAGGUGCUGCCCCUCGCGACAGUGCCGUUCCUCGUCGGCGCGCCGGAGCAGUACGAGUUGGCCUUCGCAGCCACCCCUGUCGUCCCUCUGACGCCGUUGCCAACCACUCCAGCGGAGCCGAGCCCCCCACCUCAACUUGCCGCCGCAGCGGAUACGGCUACGACGGUGCCUCCGGCGCUGCCGGUACCCGAAGAGGCACCCGUGUACUGCAACAGCGGACCGGACCUCACCGUGAUGCCAAACAUCGAUGAAGUCUACAAGUGCUUCAAGGACUACGGGAACGGGCUUGUAUUCCGCCUCGUGGACAAGGUUCAACGCCGCUGGGCUUUCUACAAUGACACCACCGACGUUGUAGCCUUGGUGAGGGUGCAGUUUUCCCCCGGAGCGCGCAUUCAGCCGCUGGGGCAUACAGUGCUGGGCUGCGACCUAGAGAGCGGUAGCGUCCUUCACGAGAUCCGCGUGAAUCCGCUCGAGACGGCCCUCUUUGUGGAAGGGGAUGUCGACAUCUUCACCACAAAGUUCGUGGCUGAGCAAAUACAGACCUGACGGCUUCCUGCCACAUCUUCGCCCGCGGUGGGGACUCGAGCGAGCGAGAGAGCGAGAGAACAUUGUUCCUUAGUGCUCCCCUGUCGAGGUAGAGACGGUGCGAGGUUUCGCUGCACCCCCCCCCCGCGCUAGGCAACCAUCGUCCACAUCUGCCAGACAUGCACACGCACGGUGACACACUGCUGUGUUGGACGCUUUCUCUUUCUUUCUCCCUCCCACACCCCUCGCUCUCACAAGCAUAUUCCUUGCACGACAUCUAAUGUUGGUGUGUAUUGCCCUUCACGAUGAAGACAGCGGUAUCGUCUUGGCCGCGAAUACCUCUGUCGUCCUUGCCGGUCCUCUCGCUCUCCUUAAUGUUUUUUUUUUGCCCUCUUUCCUUUGUCUUACGCGUGUGCGUGGCAGUCGUGGCUUGUGUGUCGGUGCCUCACCUCCCCCGCUACCGCUGAUGCCGCCUCAACACCUCCUCUCCCCCUUGUGUCUUACCUUUUUGUAGAUGAGGAGUCGCCACGCGGUGCCGCUGAAGCAUAAACGAAACAACGCAUCAUCGCGCAGACAGCAUCUUCUACCUUGCCACUGAGUAGCGGUCACUCGUGUGAGUGUCCAGGCUACGGCAGGCUGCUGAUUGGUGAUGGGGUGUGCGGCAGUGUGUGUAGCGGAAGGGAACAUAGAUACUUUCUGUGGCCAAAAAAAAAAACUGAAAAUGCAGAGAACGCGCGAUCGCGCACACAUGCAGAAGAGUCGGCUGUCGUCUCGCUUGAUAACACCAUGCGUCUAUUCCGCUUUGUGUUGUCUUCUUCUCGUUGUCGUGUGAAUUCGUUAGCGGGAUGUGGGACUGUAAGGGUGAUCAUGCGUGUCUCUCGGACGUCCCUCUCAUUCCACAGAUAGCCUCUCCCCCCCUCCCUUCCUCCUUCCUCGGCAG